GACAGAGGGUGCAAACGUUGUUCGGAAUUACUGGGCGUAAAGCGCGUGUAGGCGGCUAUGUAAGUCGGGCGUGAAAUCCCACGGCUCAACCGUGGAAGUGCACCCGAAACUGCGUAGCUAGAGUCCUGGAGAGGAAGGUGGAAUGUUUGGUGUAGAGGUGAAAUUCGUAGAUAUCAAGCGGAACACCGGUGGCGAAGGCGGCCUUCUGGACAGUGACUGACGCUGAGACGCGAAAGCGUGGGGAGCAAACAGG
RNAcentral lists this ribosomal RNA (253 nucleotides) under uncultured bacterium. Its description in RNAcentral is "partial 16S ribosomal RNA". It matches the Rfam family "Bacterial small subunit ribosomal RNA", at positions 524 to 776 of the family's 1533-position model. The record is from RNAcentral.